GGACCCCAUGCACCUCCUCAUGAUCCACACAAGCCACAUGACUGUCACCACGGUCACCACCACCCAUGAACCGAACUAGUCAUGAGGCCACGAUCGAGAAGCUAGUCUCAGCAAGUUGUUAUCUAUUUAUCUUUGUGCCUGUAAUGUGAUCUAGCUGCGGUUGUAGUUCUGAGUUGCUGGGUUUACUGGCUUUGCUCCAUUGAUCUCAUCGUUAUGUAAUGACUAAAAUAUGAGGACUAUGUAUGUAUCCAAAAGAAGGCUGAUCAUAUAUGUAUAAUAAGAAGAGUACUGGCUUUGUGGUUUAUGUAUAAUCCGCUUGUGUAAAACUUCUUCUUUUAUCCGUCUAAAUGUGAUGUAUAAUCAGAAAAUAUGGCCAGUUUGUCAUCUUGACCAACCUGAACUUACAAACUAAUUAAUUAAGUCAAUCUCCCCAAUUUCAUCAAUCUUCAUUAGGAUUUCAUCACUAGCUCAUUCCUUCACAGAUAAUUAACCAUUUGCUCGAUUGCUCUUAACAAACUGUAAUAGCCAAGAGGCAAACGCAUCCAUCUAAAUUCUAAAAAGUUAUUAACACAGGCUAGGGGUAAAUUAUCCUUUGUUCAGACCAAUCUCACAGUUGAAGCGAUGAAUUGGCUAAAACAAAAGCCUACGGGCAGAAAAACAAAGCAUCUCUAUUCGUACGGAAGAAUGACUUCCAUAUAUAGUAAGCCUUAUAGUUAUAACACCGUAAGUGUAUAAGAAUAGGAAUUCAUAAACGCAAUAAGAAGAAGACCGUGAAAGAGAUCGAAGAUUAAAGCAGGCCUUAAUGUCUUGUAUAUUCUGUACAAAAUUUCAACAGCCAGAUUUUCUCGAUGCAUUCGUCAGCUUCUGUUUGUAACCUUUCUUCUGUCAAAUCCUCCAUGGCUUUUCACGAGCAAUAAUUCUUGCAAGGUCCCAUUAACAAGCCUCACGUACGUUGUUCUUAUCUCCUUUUCCUUAGCUCACCAAGAAUUCAACUAUUACCAAGUGCAGCAACUAGUUUCUGUGAUCGAUCUACGGAAAGUUAAAGUUAUUGCUCAAAAGAGAAAGAGAAAACGGAAGUUAAAGUUCCAUGCUGCCCUAGUUCAAGUACGCACUCAGUUAUGAUCUUGUGGUUCUUACAAUGGAUGAAUGGAUGAAGCAUUACCACACAAAUACUCAGAAGAGAAAAACAAAACAACCACAGUGCACGAUUAACAUGCUAGCUAGCUUUCAUUGUGUGCAAAUAUCCUGAGCUACCAUUCCACCAAAACAAGCUAAAUAAGUUUAUCCUUGUAUGGAUAUUAUGUGAAUCGAAAUAAUUGUAUAUUUGAUUCUUAGAUAUUAUGUGGCACCUAUUACAACGAAGCAUGUGCCAUAUUCUGAAGAUAAUGUCGACACAUCUGAAUCAUCUAGAGCCCGUACCGACACCUUUCUCCUAUAAAAUCAACUCCUACUAGCUUAAACUCUUCAACAGUUCGCCACAUCAAGAACAACUUUCUUUUUGUUUAUACAAGCUAGUAGUCUCACCAAGAAUUCGAAGAUGCAUCACGGUGAUCAUCACGGCGGACCACCACACCACGGAGGAGGUCCGGGAGGAGGUCCGGGAGGUCCAGGAGGCGGCCCUCAACAUGGUCAUGGUCAUCAAGGAGCUCCGGGAGGAGGGCAUGGAGGACCAGGAGGAGGAGGGCAUGGAGGGCAAGGAGGAGGAGGACACGGAGGACCAGGAGGAGGAGGACAUGGAGGAGGAGGAGGAGGAGGACGAGGGGGGAGGAGGAGGACAUGGAGGAGGAGGAGGAGGAGGACGAGGGAGGAGGAGGAGGAGGACAUGGAGGAGGAGGAGGACGACGGAGGGCAUGGUGGUCACUGAUCAUGGCGCUAGACUACGUAUACUACUUGUGGUGUACUAGCUGGCUGAAUAAGUCUCUCUAUGUGACUUCUGUAGUAUUGUUUGUGUGUUAUCAUUUCCUAGUUGGGUCGAUCAGAUCCUAGAUAGUGAAGCUAGCUAGGGGAGUCGAUCUUGUGUUUGGAGUCUGUUAAUUAAUGUAUGUGUAUGGAUGUGUAAUAAAACCAUACUAGCUAUGUAUUUGAUUCGAGGCUUAACAUAUAUUGCAUGCAGCUAUAUAUAUAUAUAUAUAUAUAAUAUCCUUAGAUGACUAAGAACAUAAGAAACAGAGCAGUACUAUUGAUGAUUUACAAGAUUCAAUUUGUAUAAGUGAUCUUUGGCUUGUCCUAAUUAACCAUCAAGCAAAGCGCUAAGAACGAACAUAUUAUAUAUACUGCCAGAUGAUCAAGCAACUUUGCAGAGGGAUCAUGACGAAAUGUCCAUCUAGCAGCUUAAAUGCUUAAUUAGAACAAUUUUGCAAAACAAACACAAACUUGUAUAAUACGGUACCGAAAAUAUAAGUAUAACCGUUUGAAAUGUCAAGUUUAUCAAUCUUAUGAAAUCGAAGUAUCGUAAAUCGAUAAUGAUCUUCUUCAAAACUAGAACGAGAAUGUAACGUGUCUAUAUGACACUAUAAAUGUCUACGAAAUCAUGCGUUAAGAACAUAAUAUUAUAUUCCUUCGUUUUUUACUAAAGAAUAUCAUUACCGUUAAGCUUUAAUUGACAUACGUACGAUUGUACUUUGUAGUGAUACAUCUAAUUAUAUUGGUCGUGUGGUGCCCUUAGUAUAUUAAAAGGAAAAAACUAAAGAGACCAAAAGGCCCAAAGGAAACCACAGAAAUUGUCAUAAAGGUACAAGUGCAGCCCAACUUUCNNNNNNNNNNNNNNNNNNNNNNNNNNNNNNNNNNNNNNNNNNNNNNNNNNNNNNNNNNNNNNNNNNNNNNNNNNNNNNNNNNNNNNNNNNNNNNNNNNNNNNNNNNNNNNNNNNNNNNNNNNNNNNNNNNNNNNNNNNNNNNNNNNNNNNNNNNNNNNNNNNNNNGUCCUGAUCAUCACCUUCCUUGCCUAUGCUUCCUUCCACGCCUCCAGGAAGCCCCCCAGCAUCGUCAAGAGUGUUCUUGGCCCCAAACUCCUGUCCAAUUCGAGCUCUUUCGACACCGGUUGGGCUCCCUUUAAUGGCCCUGAUGGCACUCACAGGCUUGGAGAACUUGAUCUUGCAUUUCUAUCUGCAUAUUCUAUUGGAAUGUAUUUUGCAGGGCAUGUUGGUGAUAGGAUUGAUUUGAGGUUGUUUCUUGCUUAUGGGAUGUUAGGGAGUGGAGUUUUGACUUGUCUUUUCGGGUUAGGUUAUUGGUGCAAUGUGCAUAUGUUGUGGUACUUUGUGGGUGUGCAAGUUGUGUGUGGGUUGUUUCAGUCAAUAGGGUGGCCUUCUGUUGUGGCAGUUGUGGGGAAUUGGUUUAGGGUUUAGACAGCGGCCAUCACACGCCGGCCACGGUCACGCACCACCCCCAGGUCCGGGACACCACGAGCCUCCUCCGCCCCAUGGCCAUGCUCCUCCUCCGGGGCCUCAUGCACCUCCUUCGGGACCCCAUACACCUCCUCCGGAACCCCAUGCACCUCCUCCGGGACCCCAUGCACCUCCUCAUGAUCCACACAAGCCACAUGACCCGCACCACGGUCACCACCACCCAUGAACCGAACUAGUCAUGAGGGAUCACGAAGCUAGCUAGUCUCAGCAAGUUGUUAUCUAUUUCUGCCUGUAAUGUGAUCUAGCUGCGCUUGUAGUUCUGAGUUGCUGGGUUUACUGGCUUUGCUCCAUUGAUCUCAUCGUUAUGUAAUGACUAAAAUAUGAUGACUAUGUAUGUAUCCAAAAGAAGGCUGAUCAUAUAUGUAUAAUAAGAAGAGUACUGGCUUUCUGGUUUAUGUAUAAUCCGCUUGUGUAAAACUUCUUCUCUGUUAUCGGUCUAAAUGUGAUGUAUGAUCAGAAAAUAUGGUCAGUUUGUCCUCUUGACCAACCUUAACUUACAAACUAAUUAAGUCAAUCUCCCCAAUUUCAUCAAUCUUUAUUAGGAUUUCAUCACUCAUUCCUUCACAGAUAAUUAACCACACAUCCAAGCUGCAUUUGCUCGAUUGCUCUUAACAAACUGUAAUAAUUAACCAAGAGGCAAACGCAUCCAUCUAAAGUCUAAAAAUUAAGUUAUUAACACAAGGUUAAAUUAUCCAUUGUUCAGACCAAUCUCACAGUUAGAGCGAUGAAUUGGCUAAAACAAAAACCUACGGGAGAAAAAGAAAGCAUGUCUAUUCAUACGGAUGAAUGACUUCCAUAUAUAGUAAGCCUUAUAGUUAUAACACCGUAAGUGUAUAAGAAUAGGAAUUCAUAAACACAAUAAGAAGAAGAUCGUGAAAGAGAUCGAAGAUUAAAGCAGGCCUUACUGUCUUACAUAUUCUGUACAACAUUUCAACUGCUAGAUUUUCUCGAUGCAUUCGUUAGCUUCUGUUUGUAACCUUUCUUCUGUCAAAUCCUCCAUAUACGAACUCAUGGCUUUUCACGAGCAAUAAUUCUUAAAAGGUCCCAUUAACAAGCCUCAAGUACGUUGUUCUUAUCUCCUUUUCCUUAGCUCACCAAGAAUUCAACUAUUCCCAAGUGCAGCAACUAGUUUCUGUGAUCGAUCUACGCAAAGUUAAAGUUAUUGCUCAAAAGAGAAAGAGAAAACGGAAGUUAAAGUUCCAUGCUGCCCUAGUUCAAGUACGCACUCAGUUAUGACCUUGUGGUUCUUACAAUGGAUGAAGCAUUACCAAACAAAUACUCAGAAGAGAAAAACAAAACAACCACAGUGCACGAUUAACAUGCUAGCUAGCUUUCAUUGUGUGCAAAUAUCCUGAGCUACCAUUCCACCAAAACAAGCUAAAUAAGUUUAUCCUUGUAUGGAUAUUAUGUGAAUCGAAAUAAUUGUAUAUUUGAUUCUUAGAUAUUAAGUGGCACCUAUUACAACGAAGCAUGUGCCAUGCAUUCUGAAGAUCAUGUCGACACAUCUUAAUAAUCUGGAGCCCGUACCGACACCUUUCUCCUAUAAAAUCAACUCCUACUAGCUUAAACUCUUCAACAGCUCGCCACAUCAAGAACAACUUUCUUUUUGUUUAUACAAGCUAGUAGUCUCACCAAGAAUUCGAAGAUGCAGCACGGUGAUCACCAAGGAGGAGGUCCGGGAGGUCCGGGAGGUCCAGGAGGAGGUCCGGGAGGUCCAGGAGGCGGCCCUCAACAUGGUCAAGGUCAUCAAGGGGGUCCGGGAGGAGGGCAUGGAGGACCAGGAGGAGGAGGACAAGGGGACCAGGAGGAGGAGGACAAGGAGGACCAGGAGGUGGAGGACAAGGAGGACCAGGAGGAGGAGGACAAGGAGGACCAGGAGGAGGAGGAGGAGGAGGAGGAGGACAUGGUGGUCACUGAUCAUGGCUCUAGACUACGUAUACUACUUGUGGUGUACUAGCUAGCUGAAUAAAAGUCUCUAUGUGACUUCUGUGUUAUCGUUUAUGUGUUAUCAUUUCCUAGUUGGGUCGAUGAGAUCCUAGAUAGUGAAGCUAGCUAGGGGAGUCGAUCUUGUGUUUGGAGUCUGUUAAUGUAUGUGUAAUAAAACCAUACUAGUUAUGUAUUUGAUUCGUCUCUUAGGCUUAACAUUGCAUGCAGCUAUAAUAUUCUUAGAUGACUAAGAACAUAAGAAACAGAGCAGUACUGUUGGUGAUUUACAAGAUUCAAUUUGUAUAACUGAUCUUUGGCUGUCCUAAAUAACCAUCAAGCAGCAAAGCUAAGAACGAACAUAUUAUAUAAACUGCCAGAUGAUCAAGCAACUUUGCAGAGGGACUAUGACGAAACGUCUGAGAACCCAUCUAGCAGCUUAAUUAGAACAAUUUUGCAAAACAAACACAAACUCGUAUACGGUACCGAAAAUAUAAGUAUAACCGUUUGGAAUGUCAAGUUUAUCAAUAUUCUGAAACCAAAUAUCGUCAAUCAAUUAUGAUCUUCUUCAAAGCGAGUAUAUAUUUAGCGUAUCGAUAUAACACUGUAGAUGUCUACGAAAUCAUGCAUUAAGAACAUACCAUUAUAUUCCUUCACUUUUUACAAAAGAAUACCAUUACCGUUAAGCUUUAAUUGACAUACGAUUGUACUUUGUAGUGAUACAUCUAAUUAUAUUGGUCGUGUGGUGCCCUUAGUAUAUUAAAAGGAAAAAAAAAAUUAUUUGGACUCCGAUCAAUUUCCCCCUCUGAAGGCCGCCACAAUAAGCAGAACUAAAGAGACCAAAAGGCCCAAAGGAAACCACAGAAAUUGGCAUAAAGGUACAAGUGCAGCCCAACUUUCUUUCCCUCCAUUUUUGACCCAAAAACAAAAAAACAAAAGAAAACUACUUCCUCCAUUUGUCUUGAUAUAAUUAGGUAAUACAGGUUGCUUCACAGACAUCUCACCCUUCACCAGGAAGGCCCUCAUUUUCUUUUGAAUCUGGUGGCCUUCCUCUUCAUUUACAGAUCCAAAAACCCCCUUAUAUUCUUCUGUACAUAGAUAUUUCUCAAUCCCACAAAUCAAUCCCCAAAACCCUAAUCAAAGAUCCAUCCUUUCCUUCUCCUCUGCCUCAAUCAACAACUGGGUUCAUCAAUUCAGGUACAAAUUGAGUUCCUUUUUCUUCUUCACAGCAAAUGGNNNNNNNNNNNNNNNNNNNNNNNNNNNNNNNNNNNNNNNNNNNNNNNNNNNNNNNNNNNNNNNNNNNNNNNNNNNNNNNNNNNNNNNNNNNNNNNNNNNNNNNNNNNNNNNNNNNNNNNNNNNNNNNNNNNNNNNNNNNNNNNNNNNNNNNNNNNNNNNNNNNNNNNNNNNNNNNNNNNNNNNNNNNNNNNNNNNNNNNNNNNNNNNNNNNNNNNNNNNNNNNNNNNNNNNNNNNNNNNNNNNNNNNNNNNNNNNNNNNNNNNNNNNNNNNNNNNNNNNNNNNNNNNNNNNNNNNNNNNNNNNNNNNNNNNNNNNNNNNNNNNNNNNNNNNNNNNNNNNNNNNNNNNNNNNNNNNNNNNNNNNNNNNNNNNNNNNNNNNNNNNNNNNNNNNNNNNNNNNNNNNNNNNNNNNNNNNNNNNNNNNNNNNNNNNNNNNNNNNNNNNNNNNNNNNNNNNNNNNNNNNNNNNNNNNNNNNNNNNNNNNNNNNNNNNNNNNNNNNNNNNNNNNNNNNNNNNNNNNNNNNNGUCCUGAUCAUCACCUUCCUUGCCUAUGCUUCCUUCCACGCCUCCAGGAAGCCCCCCAGCAUCGUCAAGAGUGUUCUUGGCCCCAACUCCAGUCCAAUUCGAGCUCUUUCGACACCGGUUGGGCUCCCUUUAAUGGCCCUGAUGGCACUCACAGGCUUGGAGAACUUGAUCUUGCAUUUCUAUCUGCAUAUUCUAUUGGAAUGUAUUUUGCAGGGCAUGUUGGUGAUAGGAUUGAUUUGAGGUUGUUUCUUGCUUAUGGGAUGUUAGGGAGUGGAGUUUUGACAUGUCUUUUCGGGUUAGGUUAUUGGUGCAAUGUGCAUAUGUUGUGGUACUUUGUGGGUGUGCAAGUUGUGUGUGGGUUGUUUCAGUCAAUAGGGUGGCCUUGUGUUGUGGCAGUUGUGGGGAAUUGGUUUGGGAAGACGAAAAGGGGGUUGAUAAUGGGUGUGUGGAGUUCACAUACUUCGGUUGGGAACAUUGUGGGAUCGGUUAUUGCUUCCGGGGUUUUGGAAUACGGAUGGGGUUGGUCGUUUGUUGUGCCUGGAGUUUUGGUGAUAUUGGUGGGAGGUUUGGUGUUUUUGUUUCUUCCUGUGAGGCCGGAGGACUUGGGGUUUGAGGUGCCGGGGAAGGAGGAGGUUGAGAUGAAUCUGGAGGUUAAUGGGGUGGUGAAUGUGGAGAAGGUGGAAUCAGAAGAAGCUGGAUUACUUAGAGGGGAAAAUGUAGAUGCUGAUGUUGGUGCUGGGGCGGAAACUUUGACUGCGAUUGGGUUUUUGGAGGCGUGGAGGUUGCCGGGGGUUGCGCCAUUUGCGUUCUGCCUCUUCUUUUCGAAGCUGGUGUCUUACACUUUCCUGUACUGGUUGCCUUUCUACAUAAGGCACACAGGUAAUUCUUUGACUCUGAUGCUCUUGUAUGAUAAACUGAAUUAUUUUGGCAAUGUUUGUGCUUAGGAUCACAAGAAAGAUGCAUGUGCUGUAUGAAAUACCAAAUAGAAUUAAAGAAAUCAGUGUUCAUAACUAUAGAUUUCAAUUUACUUAUUGUAGUUUGGUGUUAUUAUGAACUCGUCAUAUUAAUCAUGACUUCUGUUUUACCUUGUAGCUGUUGCUGGGGUGCAUCUGUCACACAAAACUGCUGGAAACCUUUCUACAAUAUUCGAUAUUGGAGGAGUCCUUGGUGGAAUUCUAGCGGGAUUGAUAUCAGAUAUGCUUGAAGCUCGGGCUGUUACAUCAAUUGCAUUUUUGUUACUUUCAGUCCCAGCCCUUGUUCUCUACAGGGCAUAUGGAAGCUUAUCUAUGUUUGCCAACAUUGUUCUGAUGUUUAUUGCCGGAUUGCUGGUGAAUGGUCCAUAUGCGCUCAUCACAACAGCUGUUGCUGCUGAUCUCGGCACUCAGACCUUAAUCAGAGGCAAUUCUCGUGCCUUGGCUACUGUAACCGCAAUCAUAGAUGGUACGGGGUCUGUUGGAGCAGCUCUUGGUCCUCUUUUGGCAGGCUACAUUUCAACAAGGGGAUGGAACAGCGUUUUCUUGAUGCUAAUUGUUGCUAUAUUUUGUGCCACUUUGUUUUUGAUACGCAUUGCUAGAACUGAGAUUAAAGAGAAGUUGAGCGGGAAAAUAUGGUUUUGGUGUAGCAUAGACACACAAUGAUUGAGAAGUAAUAGACAGAAAUUCUUGUAAGAUUACGGUACAGCAUAGACACAAUGAUUGAGAAGUAAUAGACCGAAACUUUUUGUUUUAGUGUAUUCUUGAAGUCUGAGUAUCAGUUUGAUGACUCUUUGUGCACUUGUGAUAAAAUCGUUAAAGGAAGAAUAUAAAGGGUAAACAACCAAAAUGUUGGAAAGGAAAAGAAGAGUAUGUACAAAUUCAAAGCUAAAAGUACAGUUACAGAACAAUUUAUAAGCAACUGAGAACUGCCUUAACCUCUCAUAUGCAACGCAAUUCCUUACCUCAAAGUUUGAUCUCCAUUAUGUUCUAUUAGUGUACAGACUGUUAUCCCAAAACUUGGCAAUACGAAUGUCUUCUGCAUCCUUCUCAUCUUCUGUAGAAUCAACUGAAGCACUAGAUAUAGAGGAAGCAAGGCUGCAGUCCCUGGAUAUAUAUACAGAAGCCGAAGUUCUUAUUGAUCAAUUCUAAGUUUUAACCUUUGCCCAUCACCAGAAACAUCAACAAAUGGAGCACACUAGUUCAUCUAUUGAUCUAAGAAGAACUGAAGAUUUUGUAGUCCCUCAGCAGAAAUACUACGUCUGACUCUAGACCUUUCGACUACCACAUGUGGAGGUGGCUCCAAGUGGAAACUCACCAUAACAAGUGUCAAAUUGUCAGUUGCACCACGUUUUAUUGCCUCCUCUACUAUUUGCUUGCAACACAGCUUCACAUCAUUGUGCUCUUGGAGUUUCCUUCGAGCAAAGUCUACGGCAUUUUGGUUGGUGAAGACAUCCCAUAUUCCAUCACUACCAAUGAUUAAAAAUUCAUCAUCCUUGGUCAGUGUUGUCAAUUUAAGUUCUGGCUCAGCACUCAAGGGUCCUCCCCUUUCACCUUCAUCCUUCAAUCCUUCAAGAUGCCAAUCACCUAAUGCACGGGUAACCCCUAACUGACCAUUCAGAUAACCAUCAUCAACAUAUCCACCCAAAGACUCAAUCCUCAUCCUUUCUUUUGUGCAGCAGGGUCUAUGAUCUUUUGACAUUUCUAUAGCUGCUCCAUUUCGUGACAAUAUAGCCCUACAAUCUCCGGCAUUCGCCACAAGCAAAGACCUGUCCAACAAUAACGUUUUUUUUUUAUAAGGAACAACAAACAGAACAAAAGUCUGACGAAAACAAACUAAGCAGUAUCAAGAACUUAGACGUGAGAAGGGGCCAACAAAGAGUAGAUGUAAAUGAAGUAAUUCAAUUCCAAUGUAACACCCCAUGUUUGGGCCGGUUACUUCCUUUCCUAUACUUUAAGCACAAGCACCAAGACUAGCAGAUUUUUUCAAUAUAUUGCUUGUAAGACGACAUGAAGUAAAUGCAGCCUAUGAACACUGGAACAAAGAGUUUCUUACCUCCCAAAUAUCAUUGCAGUGAGUGCAGUUGUGCCAGAAGCAAGGGAAGACCGAACAGAGCAAGUUUUUGCAAAUGCAGCAUCUGUCUCAACAAAUGACCUUGUUAUUACCUUUUCAAGCUCUACCGGAAAGUCAGAAUCCUCAACAAUAACUCUUGGCAAGUUGUCACGAACAAAUUGCGCUGCAUCUUUUCCCCCAUGACCAUCAAAUACCUGUUUAAAUUGACAUCGCAUCAUUCAGACCAUGACUUAGAAUGGAAAGCAAAGAAGCAUUGCCAUACAGCGAAGUGUAGUAAACAGAAGAAGGUAAGUGAACUUACACCAUAGAAGGAGAUAGCUUCUUCGUCAUUGAGUACAUUAUAACCAAAUUUCUUAGCCAAGUCACCAAUGCAUAUAUGAGUAUCUUCCAUAUGGGAGCGAAAUCCAAUAUCAGACCACUCUCCUGACCGAAGGGCAGGGACAAAGUGUAACAUGUUCUGUUUUGGAUCUACAACUACUGAAUCCUCAGAUAUGCUUUCCAGCUGAAAGAUUAACAAAAUAACAAAACUUAGAUCAGAUAUAAGUCUCAAGAACAAUUAACUUACGGAACUCAAACUUCUCCCCAACUAAUAUCUAAACUUCUGCAGGACAAACCAACCAUAAAUAAACCUCGGAUUAAAGAACAAAAUUUAAAUAGCACCUAACCAUCAACCAAAUCAGGAUGUUCACAAAAGGGUGGAAAUGAAUUGCUAAAAACAAAGUCAUUAUAUAAAAAGAAAAAGAGUAUGAAACAUCAAUCAUUCUCUUUUUCCCUGUUCUGUAACUUCUUUCAGAUAAACUGAAAUCGAAGCACAAAGAAUAGAAACUGUCCCACACAAGAAUACGAACCUCAAAAUAUCAUAGUUUGAUCAUAAAUAAACACAUUUAUUUGGUAAAAGUUCACCUUCCAGAUUCCCAAUCAUUCACAGCAAGCCAAUUAAAUUGCAGCUUACUAAAAAGGAUUGGUCUUUAACAGUUUAACAUGUGAAAACAGUACAGCAUUAUUAAUCAAGCUGAAAACUUUCAUAUCUGAUACAGUAAAAACCAAUUACUAUAGUAAAGUGCAGAAUCAUGAGUAAUGUCAAUCAUGAACCAAAUAAGAGACCCAAAUCCCAGAGCUCAAUUUCAACCAAAUGGGUCCUAAAAAGUUCCAAACUUGACAACAACCCAACAAAGCUAAGCCAUCAAAGAACACAAAAUUGAUUGAAUUCUCACCUGAAACGAAUUCAACACGGUGCUCUGCUGAUCGGAGCUCAUCACCAUAGAUUCCUUGUUGUUGUUCUCCAUGUUUCCCAUUUCUGCAUCAUUCAAACACAUGCCUUAGUGCUUUGAGAUGAAAGAUUAUAAUGUCGGUGCUAUUUUCAGUGCUUGAAUUCUCAGCAAAGUUGUAGAGGGAAUCAAAUAGUAGAAACAGAGAGAACAGAGGAAAUAUAAACUUGUGGAGAGAAGAAGAUUCUGGGAAUAUGUGAGUGGGAAAUGGGGGCCUCUGUUUUAGACUAUUGACUAUUGAGUAUUUAUCAGAGAGAAAGAUGAAAGAAUGGAGAUUCCAGAUUUUUCUGUGAAAAUGUGGCUGAAAAUCAGUUUGUUGGGUUCUAUAAUAUUAUUAUUCUUGUAACCAAAAAUAAUAAUAAUAUUAUUAUUCUACUGAAAAAAGAAGAAGAAGUUUUUUGGUCUUGCUUCUUGCUUACAGAUGAGGUAAGCUAAAACUGGGACUGUAUUUUGUUGCCUAUUUCCUUGUCUCAAAAUUUAGAGGAGGUAAAGAUGCCAAGUUUUGGUGUUGAUUAAUAUCUAUAUUGUGUUUGACCAAGAUCACCAACUAACAUCUUCACCAAAAAGGGUUCCACUUUCUGAAAUGUCACAACCACUAAAACCAGGUUUAUUUAUCUUAGUGAUUAACUACCGAUAAUCAUAUCAGAGGAAUUAGGCCAUGUGUUGUUAGUGGUUACUGGGUAGGGUGUGUGAUAUUCUCAAAGAAAUGUAAUGGAAAAAGAUUAUGUUAUUAGCAUAACAAGGAUGUGGUUAGGAUAGUAUUCAAAGAUAUAUAUCACAUAUGCUUCAUUGUGGUUAGGAAUAUAAAUUUCAACCUAUGUAGCAUGAAAGAGAUCAAAUCCGAUAUAUUUCAAACACAAUUGAUGAACCUUUGUUUUAUUUAAUCAACAAUAAUUGCCCCCUAAAAAGUUUGAAAGUGAACGGAAAGGUAUGUUCAAUGUGAAAGUGAUCAUGCAAGACAAUGACCUUAGAUUUUUUUUUUUUUUCUUUUUCCCCUCCUUUAUUCUGCCUCAACUUUUUCACAAUAACAAAUCUCCAGAAAAUAUCUUCUCCUCUUAUAUGGAAACUCUGCUCCUUGUUCAUCAAGCACAGUGAUAAUUUGCUGUUCUGGGUCAUUUCAUUUACACCAUUGUUAUUGCCCUUUGCCCAUUUAAAAGGUUUUUCCACAAUAAUAUGAAGCACCACUAUUCUUUCCAGUAACUUCUAUAUUUACAGUUUUGGGUAAAAUUCUUUUGCAAAUGUGAACACAGUGAAGAAAUGGAAUAUAAUUUAGCUGUGAGUCUUUGCUGUCAUAUUCAGAAGUUUGAGCCUAGGAGACGUACUCUGUUAGUUUUCUGGGAAAACUUUAAUUGGUUAGUUGGUAAGUAUUGGUUGAAGGAGAAUCUUCAUCUUUCAGAUGACACAACACACAAGUGAGACUGAUACGUGGCCCAAUUGUUGUCACCCACAAAUUCACUUGUGGUUUCAAACAGAACAGUAACAUAUCAUGAAUUGAUAGUAUGCAAGUGCUUUUGUCAAUGAAUCGAAAUUUUAGAGCUACGUUGGCAACGAUCAGGUUGUUUGUAUGGAUCAAUCGCCUUGCUUGCACGUUUUACAUGGAUCUUCCCUUGUUUAAGCGGUAGGUGAUCAAUCACCAUUUUCUUGUUUGACGAUUUCAUAUAGAACUUCUGGCACCGCGAUUUGAUUAAUAAAUAUAGCUAUAGCUUAGAUUAUGCUCGAUAGCAUUACUCCAACUUACUGUUUUUCAACAAGUUUUAAACACUGGUUUUUAAGAAUCCAUCAUGUUAAGAGUUUUUGUUUUCUGUUUUCAUUACACCAAAAAAAAGAUUUGCCGGAAGAAUCAUGCAGGUUGGUCUGACUCAAAACAAGUUCCACUUCAUCACAAACGCGAUUGCCACAAAAGAAAAGUGGCAAGAACUACGGAAGAACUAAUACGAAUUAAGAUAAUAUGCGCAGUUUUGAUCCUGGACUGAAAACAACAUACCAAAGGAUCUCCAAAAUUCCAAAAUCUAAAUAAUAAUCAAAAGUUUUAACAACAGAAUGGGCAGCACCGUUAACCAUUAAUAGUCUUCUCAAAGUUCAUAAUCAGUUCACCCUAAACCAUCUACAAUAUCACCCUACCAUGAGAAUUAGACUUAACUUCCAGUGAAAGCCUUCUUUCCAAAAGCUGACGACGAUCCAGCGGGAAUCACCUUCAGCACAUUGAACCUCUUGGUCUUGGACAAUGGCCUAAACAUAGACAAACAAAUAAAAGAUGAGCAACGCACACAUAUUAGAACACUCCAUCAAGAGUAGUAGUGGCUUAGAAAUUUGACCUGCACUGCCCGAUGAUAACAUGGUCUCCUUCUUUCACACGGAAGCAUGGAGACACGUGUGCAGCAAUGUUCGAGUGCCUCUUCUCAUAUCUGAAGCAUGAUACGAAACAGAAUAUUUCAGUAUUACAUAAAAGAGCAUCCUUUUACUUUACCACAAUGAAAACAUAACUUGUAGAAAUCAAGAGAAAUGAACUCCAAUACCGUACCUUUGAUACUUCUUGAUAUAAUGCAGGUAAUUCCGUCGAACAAUAAUGGUCUUGUUCAUCUUAGCGCUGUGGCAAGUACCAGCUAAGAUACGUCCCCUGAUAGAGACAUUCCCAGUGAAUGGGCAUUUCUUAUCAAUGUAUGUCCCUGUUAGAUCCCCAAAAAUAUCGAAUCCAUAUCAGCAAAAACACUAAAUGCUCAUCAUCCAAUUACUCAACUCCUCCAAGAGAAAUUAUACUCCCACAUUUCCCUAGUUCAGCUAGGAACAUCUUAUAUCAUCAAGGCUAUACUAAACACACUUUUCGCCAUUCUACGAGAAUUCAAACCAUCCAAUAACAAAGAGCAAUGCGAUCACACAUUUUUGUACUGAAACAAAUCGAUCAAAUUGCCACAAACAAAUCAAAAACUCAAGUAAAACACAACAUGUCCAUACACACACUACUCCAUUUCACAACAAAAUCGAGAGUGCAAUACCUUCGAUGGCAUCCCUCGGGGUCUUGAAGCCGAGCCCGACGCUCUUCCAGAACCGGUUGCCACCUUUUCCAGGUCUCUUUCCCUUUCCGGUUUUCUUCGAGCUAAAAAACCAAAUCAAAACCUUAAGAAAACAAAAAUCAUGAUCAAAUUGAAUAAAAACCAAAUCUUGAUUUUGAAGCUGAGAAAUUCACCUCAAGAACACCUUAGGCUGCUUCAGAAAAGCUUUCUCGGUCUGAAACCAAAUCACACUGUUAGUGAGAGCAACUAAACCCUAACCAAAGAGUAGAGAGAGAGAAAGAGAGAGAGCGAACCUGUUCGGCCAUGAUUGAUUGCUCGGAGAGACGAAGGUGAGUUUCGGCGGAGGCUCGGCGGCAGUUAAGCUCUAAACCCUAAGAUGCACCAGCUGUGAGCUUCUCCUACAAAUUAUAAGGGCGGCAAUUCGGGUCGGUUUGGGCCCAGUUUAAGCCGGUUUUUCUCAUGGGCCAGAAUGGAUUGUACCUUUGGGCCUUAUGAACUAUGUUUAAACACGUGUCCUGAAGGAAGCUGUGAUCAAAAGCAUAGAGCUUGUGGCACAGAUUCUCUCAACCUUUUUUUUUUUAGAAGAAAAAGAAAAUUAUAACGAGACGCUUCUAGGGCAGCCAAUAUUAACAGUAUCUAAAUGGAAUGCUUGCGCAGCCUGAGGAGGAAGCGCACCUAGCCAAAUCUUCAGAGAAUGCAAACUGUACCCGAGAUUUACAAGAGCAUCAGCUAAGAAAUUAACUUCUCGGAAGACAUGAUCAAAGCUGAUAUUAUCAAACUCACUAGCAACAUGAAUGACAACAACUUCUCUCAACUUGAAUAAUAAAUGUUAGAUGUUAUUUGAGACUACUACAAGGACUAACCUAAUAAAGGUUUAUAUCCAUCAUCAGCUCACAACCUUUCUUCAUAUCACCGAAUACAUCCAUCAAGGUGGUAGGGAUGCUGGCUGAAAAUUGAAGCAUAACCCUGAAACCUUUGAUCAUGAAGGCGUCAAGCUCUACGGUUACUAAGAGUCGACGGAGAGGUUCGAAUCCAGGGAGUCUCAUGUACGUUUUGCGAUCGAGCGAGGGCAAGGAGGCAGUUAAAAUUCGACUCCAACUCCAUGAAAACAGGUGUUGGAGAAGAAGGAUAUAUCGAGGAAGGAAUUGAGCUGCUACUCGACAUAUCAAAAAGCAAGUGGAUUCUUGGUUGGUUGAAAAAAAAAAUGGCUAUAUACACUGAUAUACAGGCAGGAUGAAGAAGCUGGAGGAAAAUCUAUCCAAACAUUUCAUGUUGUCAUCCAAUCAGCCACCUGCUGAUCUACUAUAAGAGAUAUACAAGAUAAUUCAAAAACCUCACAUGAAUCACCCCCAAAGAUGAAAUUCGGACUCAUAAUUUCAAGUCAAAUAACUCUCUCAUAUUUAUAUAUCUUCAAAAUCACGUCCCCAGAGCAAAUCAUAACUCAAAAGUUCUACAAUCUUGCUUGAGAUGUAAAAAAAGAAAGCCGAUAUUGACACAAUGAGUAACGCCAUGCACCAUUUGCCGGCAGCAGAAGUACAUGAUUUUGUAACUGAAGAUAACUGAUCACUUUUCACCAUGGAUAGCUGCUUAGACAAGAUAACCUACUCGUUCUGCAUUUUAAGAAGCCAAUACUGUCAGUUCACAAAACCCAGGAGAAACUCUUAAACUUCAGUAUAUAUUUCCUAAUGCUGCGGUGUAAGAUUAUUGUUCCCACAAAGGAUGAUCUCUCUUGAAUUGUAAUUCUUGAACUAAGUUCACUAUGUGACAUCUUUAAGUUAUGCUAUGUAGGACAUUCACUACGAAUUAUAAGAAGCCAUGACUUGGUAGUAAUCGUUAAUUGUAUGCUGUAUGCUUCCACUACUGACUUUAAAAUGUGGGGAAUUUAUUUUAGAGAGACAAUAUGACUAUAACGUAUGGCAACCUUAGAAGCAUCAGUUAAAACAGAAAGAGAGAAUCAAAACAAAAAAUGGAUAAGAUUUUCAACAACAGCACCUUUUGACGUUUUGAACUAGGAGGCUCGUCACAAUCACUCUGACUAUGCCGACGCGAUGUCCCAACAUUGGAAUUUUCCGUCUGCAAAACAUAUACAUGAUGACUUCAAGUUCUCUAUUAUUUAAAUUUUGUUUACUUCAGCCUAAAAUCAAGAUUUACAAAAUGUAAAUUUUCUUUGGCCAUGAUGGGGAAAAAUGCUAACUGAAAUAGAAACCCAAAGCCUGUUGAAACAUGAAGCAUAGAAGGCCAGUAAAUGAUAGAUGGUGUAACAUGCAUACCACGGUGGAAGAGUCUUGGGCCAUUGUGUGCUCAGAAGAAUUUUCCGCUUCUGCAGGUACAUGACCUGGCUCUCUAGUUGCUGCUUGAGAUAUCAAUGGCAUUACUUGAUGAAGCAAAUUAGACAAAAAUAAUCCUUCUUCAGUAACCCUCAGUUCAGCUUCUGGAGCAACAGCAACACCACUAGGUGUCCUUGCCUGAUCUGAUACAGAACUAGAAUUCAUUCCUUGUACACUGCCAUCUUCUACGCGAAUUUCAUCACCAGGAAAGAGAGCCCUUAGUAUAUUUAAAAUACCGCUUGGGACCUGUCUCUCAGAUUCUUGAUCGUUUUGGGUUCCACCAGAUGAAAAAAGGUUGAUACUAACACUUCGUCCAAUGGGGGGAUCUGGUUGCCUUAUAUAGGGAGUUGAUCCUGCAAGACACAGCCAGUAUAAGUAUUUCAACUAGUAUAGCUACUUCAGAGUCUUGGUUAACUAAUGUAGAAGAGACAAACUCAAUCCGGUUGGCGUACUUGGUUUAUAAUUUUGUAAUACUCAACAGAAAGAAAAAAUGGAAAUAUUACCCUCUCUUGCAGGAUCUGUAAUGUUUUCUGAAGAUUGCCGAUCAGUAUGAAGGCCGGCAGGAUGACGAUCACCAGAUGCUUGAGAUACUUGCUCAGCAUUCACAUUUCCAGAAGCUACAUUUUGAGACCUUCCAAGAAAUGGAUAGUAUAACCCAAAUGAACUACCAGCAGACUCCGAUGGUAUGCGACUGCCAAGUACGGUCCUGAUUGGCACUACCCUUGGCCUUACACCCAAAUCUCCAGCAGAAGCUGAACCAUCUGAGAUACUUGGCGCUGUUUGAUUGGCAGGAUUUUCACCACCUGAACUUGGUGCUGCGUUUCUUUGUAAAGGUUGCUGAAGAUCGAGAUGCUCCUCUCGAUUGACAUUGGCAGUGGUCGUUGGUGAACCUUAUGGUGAAAGUAAAUAAUACUUAUACACGGGCAUAUAUUUUACAUCAAACAAGAAGUAGACAGAACAUGGAAUAUAUAACAGGUACCUCUUCGUAUUUGUAUAUCAAUACGCCUUGGAUGAAAACCAGAACCAAAUCCAUUCAGUAGACCAGAACCAGGCUGCAGAGCUCCCAUGGGCAUGGCACCUACACUCAUUCCUGAUUGAAAUGGAAGAGGCUGGCCGAGUAUCAUUCAGUCUCAAUCAGCACAGAUAAACAAACUUCAGAAGAGAGAUUUCAAUCUCUGAUUUAGGUGUAGAAAAAUACCUGAACCAUUAUAGGGUUAGGACCCGUCGGGGAUAUGAAAACUGCAGGUCCAGCAUUAACCACUGCAUCAGACUGUGAGAGAUGAGCCAAAAAAAAAAAUUACACAUCAGAUAAUACUCGAAAGGAAUUUGAUGAGUCAGAAAGCAAAUUUGGAUUCAGAUGAUACCGGUGUUAGGCCCAUUUGCACUGUCAUCAUUGUACGGCCAAGUUCAAGUAAACAGGCACCUAAAUUAUGAAUCACGGCUCCGGUACUCAAUGAACUGGCUUGGAUUCGCCUCCUUACUGAGUGAUCCGUCACAUUUGCUUGAUUCUCCAACUGGCUUGCAAGUUGCUGCAAAGAUGAUGUAGCAUGAAAAAUCACUAUGUCUUUUCGUUUAACAGAAUAAAAUCAAAGAGUCGUAAGCUUGUAGCUAAAUUAUGAGGACACCAGAUAAAAUCAAGCUACUAGCACACUAUCGAAUUUGAAAGGCCAAAUUAUAUACUAGCGACAAUAUAUAGGAAAUUUACAAUUACACUUGAGAACGCACAAGUAGAGAGUCUCCAACUUGUUCAAUGAGUAAUAGUCUAGCAGUACGGAUGACUUCUGCCAAUGAUGCAGGUGAGGGGGGGCCCUCUCGUCUUAUUCCAGAACCAGAUGACGAAUUCGAACUUCCGUCAUUCCUAUGAAUAGCUGCUUGACUCUGUCCUCCAUCUCUGGCUGUUAGUGAAUCAAUAAAAGCAAUUAUAGAAAACCAGAAGCAUAGGUGAAAAAAACAUAAAUUAUCAAAAGACCUAUGGAGAAUACUCACCAAUUGCCUGAAAGUCGCGCCUUAUAUGACUCAGAUAUCGAGAUAAAGUAUUCAACGAAUCAGGAAUCACCUAAAAGGACCACCAAUAAAGCAGAAAAGUCAAUUCAUACAGAUCCAAAUACUAAACAUCAAAGCAGGCAUAAAAUAAAAUGAUAGAAUAAAGUUGGAACUUUAAACUUGCCAGAGGUGGCAGAUUCCCCAAUGAAAAUGCCGCGGACUGACCAAAAGUGUCAUUUGAUCCAUCAGGUUGAGCCCUUGCGGUAGUUUGCUCAGAAAGAAGUUGGGUUAAACCAAACAAACCACUCAAACCUGAUGUCCUUUCUGGCCUAUUUGUCCCAGGAGGAAACUGCAGCAUAUCAACCAUCCAUGUACCAAAUUUAAGAUACAAGUACAGAGAAGUAAUUGACAUUCGACAAAAAGUGGUAUAUGAACGUAGAUUAUACACAAUAUUUAUUAAUUCUCAAGAGGCGCCAUUGCAAUUUCUCUUUUCCUUUCAACAUCAAACAAUGCAAAGAAGCAUGGCUAAAUUUUUUACUUCGGCACCCACCAGACCCGAAUAAGUCAAGUGUGCAGUUACAGGCAUACUUUGGGUCAUAUAAGGUUUAGCUUGAGUUUUUAAAGUUUUAACGUUUACCAUGACAUCAACCCCUUCACUGGCACUUGCAAUAUUUGGAAUUCCGACAGAGCCCAGAACAGCGGAGAGAAACUACACACCAGCAGAGAUAAUAAUAAAAAAACCAUCAUAAUUAGACAUAAUUCGACACGUGGGAACAUAUAUCAUUUAGUUAGUACUCACCCGACUAUAAUCUGGUUGAACAUCCCCCCCAACAGGCAAACUGAAACUUUCAAUGAAGACACUUGAUCGACCACGGCUUGUACUUGAAGCAGGAUCAGUUGCUAAAACCAGUGAAAGCAUGCAAAAAACAGCUGUGAGAUUUAACAAUUGUACCAAUAGAUUGAAAAGAGAAACAUUAGCGUGUCAAAAGCUUAUACCACAAUUUCCAUAGAAGAUGUGGCCAAUCAUAUAUUGUCAAAAGAAACAUUUAAAGAAUAUCAUUAUACGAGUGAUAUCAACCUGAAUGAUCUGCUAGUCCCUCAGAUGAUGGUGGAAUAGGUUGUCUGACAACCAAAUGUAAGGUGUGGCCAUCCUCAACAUCUAAAUCAUGUUAAGAAAAUAUUUGAAAUGCUUCAUAUCAAAAUCUGGUGAGUGAAACUUAUUUAAAAGUAGCAAGGGGCAUAUGAGCUUGACUCAAUAAAUUGAUAUUAAAUCCAUCUUAAGCAGUAACUUAUAGCCGCGCAUAGUUAAUAUCCCAGAUUGAUUGGUGACAUAUUAUACUAGCUAUGUAUCUUGAAGGACGAAGAGAUAAAGCACUCUUAAGUAACAAAGACAGCACAGAGUUUCAAAGCUUCAACUUCUACCAAUCAAAACAUUGAAAACAACAAAAGAAUAGGAUACGAUAGGCGGAGAGAAGCUGAUCAUCCUUGAGAACUUUUCCUCUGCAUAUUAGCCGUUGUUGCUCUGACAGCACACCAGUAACAGAGGCAAUCUGUUCUUUCAAAAUAGGAACUGGCAUCUGCAGUUCAUAAAACAAGAUAUUUAGAAAGCUUCAACAGCACAUAUAAUACCGGCAUGUCCUCACAGGAAUUAUUGAACUAUUCUGGAACUAGCAAGAGUACUUACCUCUUUAUCCACUUUGAGAGUAUAAGUUUGUGAAUCCAAUGUCUUUACUUUUAUCUCUAUCGUGGGCUCACUCAUCAAAAUAUCUUCAGCGCCAGUACUUCCCAUUCUUCUCAGGUCACACCGAUCCCUACAAAGAGGCAAGAGUACAUACAAGUCAUAAUCAUUCCACUUCCUUUUCUCCCCAUGUAUGAUUCUCCAAAAUCUAAACCGAUAUUGUAAACACAAAUUUCACUUAAAAAAAAAACUCGUCCUCACUAUUCUGCACUGACAGAACUAAACUCAAUUCCAAGUCUGCAAACAUGCAACACAACACAAAAACUGCACACAAUGACAUUGUGUAUGACAUAUGAAGCUGCAAAUAAACAUACAUAAACAUCAAACUCUUCUCAACCCAAUAAUCAACCAAAACCCAAAAACAACAAAACCCUCUUCAACUGAACCAACUCAAUUCCCAAUUCAACAACAUGCAAUCCUCACAUCACCAAACCCCAAGAAAUCCUAGGGUUUCAGACCCAACAAAAACAUACACACACAAUAAAGACUCAAACUUUCGCAACCAGCAACCGCAAAACUCGUAUCCGGCAAGCACCCAAUAAUAACCAGACCCGAACCCGCCCGAAAACCCGACUCACCCACCUAGAAACCGGAAAAACGAAAACCCCAAUUCGGCCACGAUCAAGAUUCAAGAAGCUGUACCUGGUUCGCCAAAAGACCAAAACUUUAAGCUUGAAUUGUCGGAUUUAGCCCUCCGGAGACGAGAACGGUCUCGGCGUCUGUGUCGUCUUCGGCGGUGGCGGUCGUCGGUGUGUGCCAGUAAAAUGAAGGACGACGACGAUGACGAUGACUCGAGGGAGGGAAAAAUAUCGGGUGGUGUCACGAAACCCUGUAAUAAUAAAGUUAUAGAACUUUUUUACCUCUUGUAAAUUUACCCUUUUGUCUUUUUUCGAUUUUCACCGCGUGCUUUUUUACUCUCGGGCUGAUUUGGAAUGGUAAAAAGAGGAGGGCAAAUUCACCACGUGGGACCCACACACACCUGGGGAGAUUUUGUUUUUGUCCAUUUUAGGUUAGAAUGUAAGAAAUAAGAUUAUGGGAUACGUGGUUCACCUAAUCAGAGAAUCAUGGUCAAUCAUUCUGAAUGUAAAUUUAAUGGUGAAAAGUAUUAUUUUAAAGUUAAAUUAUUUUGUUUUUAAAUCUUAGAUUUAAAUCUAACAGUGGUACUAAUGAGUUAUUGACUUAUUGGCAAUAUACACGAGUAUUACGAAUGUAAUUCAAAAGAACAAUGGUUGAAGAUUAUCAACUCAAUUUGAAUCUUGUUUUUUUUUUUUCUAUUUGUUAAUGCUUUUGUAAUUUAAUCGUUAGUCUCUCCGUCUUUGGCUAAUUCUCCAACUCCUAACGAGUUAAGUGUUAGUAAAUAAAUAUUCCUUCUUCAAAAGGAAACCAUACUUACCAAAGAAUAAUAGAAGGACAAACCCCGAUAGUGGCGCGCGCGCAGCUAGGUUUAGUUUUGGAAAGAUUUUAUAACUUCCAUACAGAACAAGGAAAUAAAAGGAAUUACCUCAAUGGAAGAGGAAAUAGUACGUGCAUGGGAGUGAUGGGACCUAUAAAUAGCUAGGUUAGUUAAUUACCUGAGCCACGCCAAGUUAACCAGUCUCGAUCAAACACUGCUUCAUAGUCUCAAUCACCAAACUAUGUCAAAAUCAGUGAUUCUUGUGGAGGAGAUCGACAAGUUCCGAUAUCGUAGCGAGAUUCAAGUAAAAGAUAUAAUCAGCUCAUCCACAAAGAGAAACUGGCACUCGUUGUCAGAGUUCCACCCUAGCGAGGUGGUUGUGUUCGAGUUUACUCUCACCAGGUCUUCAGAAAUAAUUGAUUCGGUACUCUUUUCCGAUCGAAAGCCGGUUAUAGUCCACCGUUCCGAGCUCUUCGACGGCGUCGAUACUUUGAUGCAUAAGGUGGUUGAGGUCACGAAAGAGGCUCUUAGAAGCAUGCGUGCUCCAGACGAGUACCUGCCGGAUACAAUUGCAAAGAUUUUCGACGUGGUUCGGUGCCUGGCAAGAGACAUGAAUCACCGUAAUGAAGUUUCCGUUAAUGUGGACAUAAAUUACUGUCAACUUAUUGAUCAUGGUGAUGAUGACAAUAGGGUUUCAGGCCAAGGAUCGAUGUCAAUGAAUUUCGGGUGGGGGUCAUUAAUGGAACCUCUUGAUAAUGAUGACGGAGUCUUCAAAGUUUCUGGCUUCGCCAACCCUAAUGAUGCAACUAAAUCAGCCAUUGAGAAGUUGGAGAAAGAGACUUGCAAGUUCAUGAUGUGCUACUUGUAGCAAUUUUGUUGAAACUUUCGGCAAGAUUACUUGCGAAUCUAACAACAUCGAGCUAUUGUUUUGAUUUUCAUGUUAAAGUUCUUAGAUACGAGUUUAUAUAUGCUCAUGGUGCUCAAAUUUAAUUCGUAAUUAAUAAUCUUUCACCAUUCUAAUUGAGAAACUUUCGCUGCUAAAUUAAACCGACUUCAAACUCUAACUUUAGUACCAAACGGACAAGAAUUUAUUUAUUCAUCAUGCCAUCAAGUCGAUUACAUGAUCAAAUUAUUGUUGCUAACAAACUAUAGGGAAAACAAACUACAUGUAAUAAUAGAUAGCUAAUUAGAAGAUCAAAUUCCAAAUCAUCAUCUAGCAUUGUCGAAGUCGAAUAAUAAGACUGAUGAUCUCUGCUCGUUCCCAUCAUUAUUCUAGUCUGCAACAUAAUUAAACAACUCAUCAAUUCACUAAAAUUUCACACAAAUUGGCUAGAAGGAGUAUGCAUGGCUGACCAAGUUAUGACAUACCUGAUUAAAACAUGGCUGGGGGUGGCGGGCUUACAUUCAUGCAUAUUGCAAUACACACAGGUAUACAAGCCGCCGGUGGAAUAUCCCUUGGUAUAUUGAAUCGUUUCCAACCAGGAGGACUGGGUGGAGAUCUAGGAGGUGUAGGAGCUACCGGAGCAGGGGGAGGGGGAGUACCAGGAGGGGUAGGAGCUUGCGGAGCUGGGGGAGGCGGAGUACCAGGAGGCGUAGGAGCUUGCGGAGUUGGGGGAGGUGGAGUACCAGGCGGUGUAGGAGCUUCAGGAGCUGGAGGAGGGGGAGUACCAGGAGUUGUAGGAGUUGGGGGAGUAACCGGAGCUGGUGGAGUAACCGGAGUUGGGGGAGUAACCGGAGCUGGUGGAGUAACCGGAGUUGGGGGAGUAACCGGAGCUGGUGGAGUAACUGGAGUUGGGGGGGUUCUAGGAGUUGGGGGGUUUCUAGGAGUCGGGCGAGUUCCUCUGCGACGCCAAAAGAACCUGCUAUAGGUUUGUGAUGCAUCAAAGAUGGAGGCACAAUCAGCGCUACAUUGGAUGGCACAAAGAGAAACAUCAGCUACAUUAGGACUUGGUGGUGGUGUUGGCGGUUGUGGAAGAACAUCUGGUGGGGGUGAUGGAGGUUGUGGAAGGACAUCUGGAGGCGGAGGUAGGGUAGCCACAGCUGGAGGUGGAGAUGGUGGUACUAACGCCGUGGAAGGGUCAUGGCUGGGAACGGGAGGUGUAACUAAGCUCACUUGAGCUUGCAACACAACGGAAUGAAGGAGCACAAACAUAAGCACGGUAAAAAUCCUCAUGUUUUCUAGGCACUUUUGCUUGACUGCUUCUUUUUUCUGUAGAUGAUAAAAAAUGUACAGUAUGUGGCCUCUAUAUAUAGCCAUACAAGUGAUACAACGUACCCUUCAAGUUAUCAAUCCUGAGCUCAUGAUCGAUGAUCUCCUCUUAUCAAUCAAAUCAAUUACAAUUUGAUUUAUGUACUAGGAUCAUAAUUACACAUACAUUAUAAAUUUAUCUAUCAAUUACAUAUUAUCGAUCUAAUCUUACCUGACCGUCAAUUGUCAACAAUCAUGACCAAGUACGUAAUUAAACAAGAGGUUAACUAGAGAAAUAAUUAGCUGUAUCAAAUUAUCAAUCAUGAGCUCAUGAUCUUCUCUCAUCAAUCAAAUUAAUUACAAUUUGAAUUUGAUUAUGUGUUCGAUCCUAUGAUAUACACACAGUAAAUCAUAUCUCUCAAUCACAUCUUAUAUGAUCUUAUCUGGCCGUAUUCACACAAUUAACAAAGAUAAAUUUUUGAUUAUUGAUUGUUAAAGAACUUUGUUUGAUCACUUAAUAGUUUGAUAUCCUUAACGAAUCAAAAAUACGCUAAUCCAUGUACAUCACGACUCUAAGAAAAAUAGGAUUAGAAAAUCUCAGAGUUAUGAUGAAUAAGCCAUAUAAUUUAGGUUUUCCCAAUUCCAUCAUUUCUAUAUAUGGAUUUAUGUGGUUGCAAACUAUACUUUACCAUAAUUUAAUUAUUAGUUGAAUACAUACAUAAGAUGAACCAGCUGCAUGCCAACAACAAAACAUGUAUAUGACAUCUUGUUAAUGUAUACGUAUUUUCUCAUGUGAUUUAACGUAAAAUGUAAUGAGAUUGAUUAANNNNNNNNNNNNNNNNNNNNCACAAUCUUCAAAAAUCAAAAUGAUCGAAUUAGAACAUAUAUCAAUUGUUACCAUAUUGGUCUUGUUACCUUGCAAAAAGAAUCCACUUUCAAUUAGCUCUAUGAUUCUCAUUCAAUUUACAGCUUUCUGAAACCGUGUUUGAUUCUUCGGCUUAGAAAACACACAGCCUACGACUAGGAAAGACUUAUUUAUCAAAUCGCAGCCUACGACUAUAUCUGAAAGGCUUGUAAGAAACAUAGGAAUAUGAGGAUGUUCCUAGCACCCUUGAUUGAUGUAAAAAUAAAGGGGAGUGUAGACUUUAGGAGGAGUCUAACACACAUACACUAUCAUAGGUGUGUUGUGCUAUUUUUCCCUUCGACCAAGAUUUAUUUUAUCCCACUGGGUUUUGUUACUUGGCAAGGUUUUUAAUGAGGCAACACCACAUGCACCAUUUCGUCUUUGACUUGGCUCAAGGGGGAGUGUUGAAGGAAAAACACAUUUAUGUGUGUCUUCGUUAAAGUCGUAACCGGAGAGUAAAUUAUGUAAUUAGUGAUCAAUUAGUGUAAUUGCUCAAUCAGUUAUCAAUCAAAUUUUAUUGUCAUUAUAUACGUUAUAGUUACAUUUGUAAUAUCACCUCUAUAUAAAGAGGAGCUUCAAUCAAAUAAGUAGACCAAUUCCAUUUUUCCUGUAACAGGUUAUGUAUUAGUAUUUUCCCAUGUGAUUUUACAUAAAAUGCAAUGAGAUUGAUUUAUACAUUAUGCACAUACGAAAAAAAACAAAAAACAUGUGAGCCCACAUGUACCCUGCAAUCAAUAUGGUGGGAGCAGAAUCGCCGUGAGCCCAAAAUGCCAUGAUCGAUCAGCAAAUCCCUUGCAGCAUAUACCUACUCAAUCAGUGAACAUGUACACCACGCCCAGGACUUCAAUAUUUCUAUCUACAUACGUUGUUGUUCGCUCUUUUUUCUUAAAGAGCUCAACAAAAUCCCAGUAGCUAGAAUGAUCCAAAUCAUUGUUUAAAAGCAGCAUAACGAUAAGAAUCAAGCAUUACUAGAUUUUUAGAAUAUUACUUUACUAUAUACGCACAAAAGUUGAUACAUAUAUCAUUCCUAACCCUAAAAUUCUGCAGCAUUUCUGUAAUGCUGUCCAGUACGUACUUAAAUACUAAUUCUAGCUAGCUGGCUAUAUAUUAUUCCUCUUAAUUAAUUUAUUGGUCUGUAACAGUACUCGACUGAGGAGUAGUAAUGCUUAGUUUUGAUUUACAUCGAUAUUGAUCGAUCAGUUGUGUAUCGGAGGUUUUUUCCUGGCCGGAGAAUAAUCCAUUUCGGUCAGGUCUAUGAGGUUUGGAUAUUGUUGUCGGGUGGUUGCAACCUCCUCCUCAGCUUUCGGAUUCCCAAUUUGCUUGCCAACAAUAUUCUUCUCGUUCUGUACAUACAUAGAUCGAAGUAAUUAGUCCAUUGCUAGCUAGCUAAUUACAUACUGAUCCAAUUACUUUUUGAUUAAUAAGUAUUCGUUAUUGAUGAACAAUAACCAACCUUUGAAGUGGUGGUAGAAGAUCUCACAGUUAUUAGUUUUCUACUGCUUCCUGCAACAAUAGAAAUGAAGCCACUAAUUAGGUAUGGUCCUUUUUUAUCACUAUAAAGUUUAGUUGCACUAGCAUAAAUAUCAGUUAAUCAUAUACAUAAUGGCUUGUAAAGAUCUAGUAACUAGUACUAAUUAUAACAAGUCAGUAGUUAGACUAUAGUUCAGCUGGGACAAGGGCCUGGGACAACAUGUGUUCUGUAGCUAAAUUGAUUAAUACAUGGUAUUUAAGCUAGAGGGGUUCCGAUCUUCUGAAACCCAACUGAUCUGUCAUGAAGAACGACAUGCAUUAUAGCCGGACAAUCAAAAAAUGAAAAAGCGUCAAUCGAUCGAGAAGAAAGAAAUGGAUCUAUCUAUAUCUAAUCUACUCAUGAAGCUAAGAAGGAAUAUAUGAAUGUAAUUAACUAAUGGUGCUUGGAUCUGUGUCUCCUAGGUCCACAGUAAUCUUCAUGAAUGCUUGGUAACCAGUGGUGUGAGUGUGAUGAUGCGGAGGACUUCUCGGACGACGAUAUCGCUGAGGAAGAAGAAGAUCUAGAAACUUUAAAUUUCUUCAAGCUAGUAGUACCUGAUGAUGAGCAGUGAUCAUCAUGUCCACAAUCUUUUCUGAGUACACCAGAAGCUGCAGUGCUUUCACUUUUUUUGGUUAAAACAGUACUAUCCUCCUGAAACAUUCAAGAACAAUUAUAUCAGUUUUAGAUCCAAACAUAGAGGAAAAGAAAUGUAAGAAACCUCAAAAAGAAAAGACAAAAGGUACCCACAUGAAUAUUCUUGUUUUGUUGUUUAACUGAGAUAAAUCCUUUCUCCAAUCGGAUCCCUUCAAUACAAGAUAACCAGAAACUCACUUCAGAACCAAUUCCAAUUGCAAUGAUAUAUAUAUAUAUAUAUAUAUAUAUAUAUAUAUAUAUAUAUACAUCCAAAACAAGAUCCUGAUUCAUCUCAUACUUGAAAAAUGCAAUUAUAUAUAUAAAUGGUGCAUACCUUGAGCCUGCGGAAGGAGAAGGAACAGAAGAAGAAGAAGAGAGACUGCUAGAGGUGGUGUAGUACUCAUCUGGACUAAGGCUUAGUUAUGAUGAUAUUUCAAAAGAAAGAUUGAAGAUCAAAGCUGCAAUUGCUAGUAGAAUCAAAUAGAUCAAAUAUAGGAAUGAAUGGAUUGGAGGAAUUAGUAAAUGUUGUCAGGAACAAAGAUCUCUUUUCUCUGCAGGUUUCUCUCACUUUCUGUUCAACAAUUUAAGUUCAAGUAGAGGAAGUCUGUGAAUGAAGGAAUGGUACCUAGCUAGCUGCUUAUAUAGUUAAAUACAUAUAGAUAUGUAGGUCCAUAUUAACUUCUCCAACAUGAUCGAGCUUAAUUUAAUGGGAUCAAUUUAUCAUGGAGACCCAAAUCGACCAAAAAUAAAUUAUGAGGACCCGGCAUUGUCGAACAUUAUUAUGAAAAAGGCCAAUAAUAUAUAGGAAGCAUGGGAAAAGUGCAUUUUAUUUGCUUUUCAUUAGUCCCAUCUUUUUGGGGUAUAAUGAGGGUUUUCAUGAAUCCUGAUCGUUCUUCAAAUUCAAAUCUCGUUUUAUAUAAAUACAUAAUGAAAUGAACAGUUUACAGUCUAAUAGCUAGCUAGGCAUGCAUGCCUUUGGAUCUUUUCAGAUCGAGGUAUGAUGCAUCAAUCACAAUAUCACAUUUCAGGUUGUGUCUCAAUUUUCAUGCAACAAACUGGGUCUUUUCGGUUGUGGGAUUAGACUGUCUCAUUAUUUUGGUUAGUCAACGAAGCUACAUGAGGACUUGAGGUAGAAGCACAAGAACUAAUCAUGCAUAUAGAAACAGAAGGUAUGGAUACGACGCCUGCAUUUGAUAUUAUAUCCAUCUUGUGAAAAAUAACCUAUCAGUUACAUGGUAGGGCAUAACAGAGAGAGGGAUGGGACAUUUCAAGAAAGAAUACAAACAAGGCUCUCAUCAUUUCUAUGGGUAAAGGAAAGAAAUUUCACUCUAGGAAGUAAAAUACAUGGUAAACUUGUCCUUCUUUGAUAUCUAGGUCGUUUGUGAGGAUUUCAGUCGCGAAUCGUAUAUCAUAAAUCAAUAUCAUUGCAGCCAUUGCUUCAUUUUUACCAUGAUAACCUAGCUAGCUUUCGAAUUUCUGCCUCCAUAUUUCAACCCUUUCAAAACAAAAACAAAAAAACAGAGCGGGCAGCAGCCCACGCAUCAAGCAACAAGCGCAGUUAAUUUGACGGCGACAGGCAAACUCAGAGCCACCGUUUCUCAUCGCCAAACCACCGACGACCCGACGUGGCAGCAUGUUUCAUGCCUCGGCUACCGGCCCCCGCCCAACCUAGUGGUGGCCAGUCGGCCCACUCCACGUGGACGUCCACAUCCCGGUCACCGCCGUAUCACGAGCCAUGUCUGUUAUUUCGCCGUCACCCAAGCAUCCCCGAUGGGGACCUUGUCGAAACCAAACCUUUCGUCGCCGAUUCUUCUUUUCCGUGGCGAAAUGGUUCUAGGGUUUAGAAACCUUUCGUUGCUUUUGAUUUCUGUGUCGGAUAUGGUUUUAAACACGUUGUUCAUCUCGUAUUCAAAGGAAAAGACAAACAGAAAAAUCAACAUCUUUUGAACAAAGCGAAAUAGUUUUCUUGAAUGAUUAAUCACUCAUCAGUGAAGCUAAAAGCCGAUCUGGACCUCACUAACUUUAGAGAACCUGUUACGGAGCUUGCUAAGUUCUGUUUGUGCUUUCUGUCAUAGAAAAAUGCUCAAGCUGCUAUCAAAUGACCUAACCAGCUAUAUAAAGGUACGCUAAUUAUAAACUAAUCACUCUUAAAGUAUCCUGUAGACUCCUGCUGCCUUUUGUAAAUCCUUUUCAAUUAUCCUCAUUUUGUACGUGCAUCUAAAUUAACUAGUUAAUUAUCAUCGAAUAUGCAGAAAAGAAUGAAUUGAUAUUCUUGUUUAGUCCCUCUCAGGAGUUUCAGGAUCAGAAUAUACAACUAAUCAAAGUGUAGUGACUGUUAUUUGUUGAAUACAAAUGAUUGUUGAAACGAAUUAUAAGAUUUAAAGAGUCAUGGGAUGAAUAUUAGUUAAUGUGUAAGUUACUUUUAAACUAAUCAAGUUGGAUUUGAUUACAUGCAGGUGGUUAUUUACAUAUAGAUUGAGCCGACAGCGAGACAUUACAUGUUUUUAGGGUUGAGCUAAUGUUCGAAAUAGGACCACCAUUGUCAACCGAUUUCAAAGCUGAACAUUUCGUUGAUCUAGAGACAUGUUUUGUGGUGGCGUGUCUGGUUACAAUACUCGUUUACAACCAGAUAAUCCAAUACGAUGAUUUCAUAUAUAUAUAUAUGUUCGAUUAAGACAUAGAUAGUUUAAGAUUUACGUACACCAUAUGUGUGUGUAUAUAUAUAUGUAUAUAUAACAUUUCUUGGAUUUCAGAUAAAGAUUGAGUUUCACACAUAAUGAAAUAAAAGCUACGUACUCGAUAUCUCUACGUGCUCGAUGCAUCAUACCAUUGUAGCACAAAAAAAAAAAGAUAUCUCUACGUGUUAUAAAUCUUGCUCGAUCUCCUGGCCUUUUAUUCCUGAACUUCUCAAACCUCGACUAAUAGUGUUGUCAUUCAUAUGUCGAAGAAAAGGAUCAAAUUUCAUGUGAUCAUCGUUUACCAUACCAAAGAAUUCCUCUCCAUAAGACUAGGUCCUGGAAGCUGGAACAUGCAAGAAAAAAUUGACCAAAAAAAGAAGAAGAAGAAUAUGCACGAAACAUUAGAGCUUGGAAGCGUACAUAGAUUGGGAAUUUGAUCGAGAAUCCUACCACCUUGUUCGAUCACACAUGCAGACAGAAACAAAAACACAGUGCAUGCGGAGGCUUUGAAAUUUAUGUAAACUUGUCCUCCACUACAGGCUACUACUCUUUGCAUUAUUGUUAUAAGGAAGAAAUAUCGUGCUCUCUGUUUGCCUCUUUUUGGUUAUAACUUUUCGGUCUUCGGUCUUCUCAUACUAGAAUUCACGAACUUAAUUACCUAACAUGUUUUGUGCUAGAUUGGCACAUGGGUGCGACCCCAUGCAUGCCAUUUGCCAUGAAGCUCAAGAUCAAGAUCGAAGAAAUUGAAUAGAGUCGAAGAAGAAUACAAGAAGGGAGUACGUUAUACUUCAAUUUAAAAACCAUGGAGCUCGAGAUAGCUGGUGCACAUAGUCAUUUGUCAUACGGUACUUGUUUCUCCAAGUAUAGCCAACAAGGUCUUUAUUUUCGAUUAUAAGGUAUAGUCAACAAGUUUGUGACAUGUGUCGGGCCACACCCGCAACACAAACUCGAAAGUUCAUUGAUUGAUUUGACAAUACUUGGUUUCUUGUCAUCGGAUGGCCUUCGCCCUAACAAAUUGUACUUCAUAUAUUGAUCCAGCUAAUUUACAAGCUAUGUACGUAGUUGGAUAAGUUGUCAUUCAUGUUCGAUUGAGUUCUUAUGAAACUUGAGAAUUAUCAUGACAUCUUUAAUUUAAUAUUACAUCAGUAAGUAAUUAGUUAUUCAUCAAUGGUUGUUACGUCUACUGUACCAAAGGAAACCGAACUAGACAAAUACGUUGAUCUCUUAAUGAGUUCCUAAAAAAAACAUUACAAUUUCUUCAUUCAAGAAACAAUAAUUUACCUUAGAAUGAGCUUUUUCUUUUGUAAUUUGAGGAUACAAUUGAGAUAUAUAAAACUAGGUGUAAUGAAAGCUAUUUUAACGAAAGGUUAAAAGCAUAAAAUCUACAACCACCUUACAGUCUUGAGAGGCUAGCUCGAUCGUCAUUUUACCGUUAAAAUCCAGCGCCACCUAAAUCGCUAAGCCACCCCCCAAAUGCAGCACCCAUUUCCCUCCACUCUAAUUUUGAUUCUUGACAUUUCUGGCUCUCGAUCGUUUAACACUAAUCUUUAUUAAUAUAUCUCUGCUUCAAUGAAAACCUAUUGUUAUUUCAAUUCUUUCAGUCUGUAAUUAUGCGUGGAACUUGUUCCAAUGUCGAUGAUUCCCUUCAAGAACAACCCUCUGAGCAGCCAAUAUUGUAAGUGAAUCAUAUCAGAAUUGUAAAUGCAUGUAACCAAUCAAUAACCAAAUACCCUUUUAGUAGUUCAUCGAGUUCUUAUACUGCGCGCAUGUACUCAGAAUAUGCGAGUGUUCCAAUGAGGGAAAUUGCGGAUGUAGUAAUAAAAGGAUGAUUUCUGCUGGAGAUGUUGGAUUACUUGCUACUUUCGAAUCCGAGAGGGGCAAUGGCCACCUUUUAUCUCUUCUUGUGAGUUUUAUUUAUUUAUUCCAAAGCAUAAACAUUUAACCUAUAUAUACAUGUACUGUCAUAUUGUUCAAUACUUGGUAGAAGUUGGUUGUGACUUGUGAGCCAAUUUGUGGAAGCAAGGGGCCUUAAACGUUCAUAGAUUUUCAAUUCCAUGGCUUUGAAUUCAUGCUUGGCCGUUGGCACAGUGUUUUCUCGGGUUCCAUAACCAGUAUUAUAAAGUUGUAAUACAUGGUGAAUCUUCUGCAGGCAUCUUCAUCUUCAUCCUCAUCCCAAAUAUCACAUUCACAUCAACCUUCAAAACCUACAAGCAGCCAGGUUUCAAACAAGUCAGAAUGUACAUCAUCAAUGGUCGACAAUCAUAACUCGUCGCGAAGACUAAUAGUCCGAAGGAACUCGAACCCUAAUCCAGAAGCUACAAUACGAGGCCUAACAAGUUGCAUGAACACACCGAACCUCGUUAACUCUGGAAAUUGCACCACACUUCUUUUCGGAUCCACUCCUCUUUGCCAAUUCUCUCUUUCUCAAGGUCUUUUUGGGGCGCCUUCGAAUCUUUUCCAGGCUGUAAUGCCUGCCAUUCAGCUUCCCCACGCAAGUGGAGAUUCAACAUCUCAAAUAGAAGAAGCUCCUGCUACUUUUGAUGAUAGUGGAUUCUCUAGUGAGAACCAACUAAUUGAUAUAUGGAGGCAACUCCUCAUGGAAUCGACUCUAUAUAUACACAGGCCGGUUGAUAACUCGUUAGAAGGUUCAAGUAGUUCCGUUUUUAGGGUAACUGCUGACACUGGAUCUGUGGACUUCAGACUUUUAACAGAGGUUUGCCCUAAUUCCUUUCACUACAAAUGUGCAGCAUGUUUAAAUUGAUCUGCAUAUUCGAUUACAUAUUCGUAUAGUCUAAUUCUGCACCUUGAUUGAUUACCUCGUGAAAAUUGCGCAGAACGCUGAAGUUGUUAACCAAUCACUGCUGUACUUUUCAAUCGAAAUGCGCAAUCGCUUUGGAGGCAUGAGGCUUGAUGUGGAUAACAUGUCAUAUGAGGUAGUAUUACAUGAAAGAUUUAGUGAUGAAUAAUGCUUUACCUGUAUGUAACAACAAUGCUUUGUUUCCACUUUUACAGGAGCUAUUGGCUUUAGAAGAUCGUAUAGGGUAUGUCAGCACAGGAUUAUCGGAGGAAGCAGUCGUUGCAUCUCUCAAACUCAGUAAAUAUUUUCUGCUUGCUGAUGAAAAUGCUGAGAAAGAGUUUUGCAGCAUCUGCCAGGUACCUCGUUCAUAAUUUCAUCUUCGUUGGAUUUUAUAUAGUUUCUGUGGCCAAGUAAUGUACAAUGGGAUCGAUGACAGUUACCAUUUUGGUUUUCAUAACAGGAGGAUUUUAUAGAGGAAGAUGAGCUAGGAACAUUGGAUUGCGGACACGGCUUCCACAUUUGUUGCAUCAAACAAUGGCUAGGAUAUAAAAACGUGUGCCCUAUAUGCAAAUCUCCUGCCUUAUCUACUACAUUUUCACAUAUUUAAAUUUUGUGAGGUGUCUUAUGUACAGUACGUAGUUGAGUUUUUUCUGAUAACUAUAUGGUGAGGACUGAGGACUCCAAUGAUUGUUGUGUUUGUCCGGCAUUCUUCACCAGGCUACAUUAGUUUUCCUUUACAAAAUGUACAUAUGUAACAUUUGUUUCUACAUGUACAGAUCAUAUGUGAUGAAAAAUCAUGAUAUCUAUAUCUACAUGCAUAUAUAUAUGUUUAAAUACACAUCCUUAUUUUCUUUUUAACAUGAUAAUUUCCAAAAAGCUCAGGAAUUCGAAUCGAAUAAGAUAAUCUAGUAAUACAACUACUAUUGCAAAACUGAAUCAACCAAGCUUUACGCUUUAGGGUUUAGAAUGCUGGUCUACUGACAGAGAUUUAUUGGCCUUGCAAUCCACGAAUUACGAUGUCGGCAAAGGUAAAGUUACUGCAGGCUCAGAUAUUUUGUCCAUGUCUAUUAAGCACGGUUGCCUUCUACAUUUCGUUUUCCACAACUUGUUUUGCUUUGAGUUGUUACGAGGAGAUGGACUUUGCUUCUUGAUAGAUACUUUUAGGGAAGAAGUUCUGAGGCUCCCAACAUGUGACAUGUGGGGGAACUAAACAAGGAUGAGUUUGGGGUUUGGCCUCAUUGUGGUAUGGGAUUUGACAAGAUAACCAGCACAUACAAGAUGGUUCGUCUUUACCAAAUUACAGAAAAGGGGAGAGGUCGCGGCUGGUAGCACUGGUUCAUGUACUAGGCACAAGCUCAUGGUAUGAGAUACCCGCACCAGCCUUUGCUCCUAAUUGUUUGGAGGAUUGUUUUUGCAGGGAAGGUAUAUGUGCAUAUGGAGACAUGCAUUGGAUGUUUUGCGAAAUUAUUACCAAACCCUACCUGAAUCAUAUAAUUUCUUUUGACUUCACGAAAGAAGAGUUCUAUUCGACACGUACACCUCACCCGGCUGCACUCUCAACAGAGAUGUCUGUGCAAUACAUUACAUUGAAAGGAUCUAUGGCCAUCCUGAAAAUCUCCGAGACUACAACUAUUGACAUCUGGGUAAUGAAAGAUUACAAUACGAAAGAGUGGACACUAGAGUACAACAUAGAUCUCCAAACUCUCGGACAAGAUCUUCUACUUAUGUUAUGUAGUGCUCGCUGUGAUGAAUGGGAGAAUGGCAUAGUUUUUAUAUCAGAAGAGUCAGAUACAUCAUUGUUUUUUGAUUCGAGAGACGUUCCGAUGAACCAUGUAACAUGUCAAAUCGAAGGAAACGAGAGCUGUGAGAAAAUCUUGUGUUUUAAAAGGAGCUUGAUUUGGGAAUUUGGUUGAAGGACCUAAGCCAGGUAGUCAUAGCCUGCUUGAUUUCUCUAGAAAAUACUUAUGGGAGUAACCUGAAAGAAGGAGAUCUUAGCAAGUGGCGGGAUGAUUUGAUAUCAUGGUUAGGAGAACUGUAUUGCCAAGCUCAUAAUAUAUAGAUCGAGUUCUCGCACUUGAUAACUUUGAGUUUGAGCUUAUUUGAUGAAACUGAAAUCAUUUUUUUUUUUUUCCGGCAUGUGAAGGUACAAGGGUAGUUGGCAUACUUGGCAAUCCUUCUAUUUCACAAAACACCUGAAGUUACUAUCAUUUGCCAAGAACAAGUUUUGAAGUCAUUAACUCUCUCAUGGUCUCAGGUAAAUCAUGCAUAUGCAUAGCAUAUGUUUUUCACAGACGUGCUAUCCUAGUUCUGAGUCUUUUGUUAUCUUUGAAUUCAAAGAUUUUGUUAUUAUAUUUUAAUAGAUCUUUGCUGUUUUCAAACUGAUAAUUGGCAACUGAGUUUUGUAAGUGUCUUGGUGCUCAAACCAGUCUAGGGUUGAGAUCUUUUGUUGUGCCAACUCGUGACCAAAUGGUUUGAUGCUCAAGGCUCCAGCUAAGGUUUUAUCAUACAUAAUACAAUGAUAGCUGGUAUGUGCUUGAUUCAAUGACCAGUCACUAUUGGCUGAGUCAUGGUCCUAUAAUGGACUGAGUAUAAGGUUCUAUUACCUUAUUGCUCAUUGAUUUGAAUUAAGCCUUGUUUUGGAAAGAUAGGUUUUGUCUCAUUGAGUUGCUUAUGACAACUCCAUUGGGGUUGCGUCACUUUCAGCUGCAGGAACCAAACAUUUUAGUCCAAAACCUCUUUCAAAACAGUUUGGUAAGUGUGUCUGCAUCUCUUGAGAUGUCUCACUUGCAUAUAUAUUCUUUUAGCUUAAGCUUUGCUCUUCAGUGGUUAAAAACUGUCAUAUUGCGUUUUUUUUGUUGAGUCUAGUUUUAGCUUGUAUUGUUCAUGCUGCUCUAAGUCUUCCUUGUGAUUAUAAACCUUAGAGCUUGAACGAAAACUUCUUUCAUAAACUCAUAUCAUUGUUGCAUACCAUGAGGGAUAUGUAGUGCAACCAACCCGAGAAGUGUUCAAGGUUGAAUCACAGGGCAAACCCUAGCUUCCGAUCAGGUAGGCAAUCUUUCUCAUCUCUCACCUUUUUGUCCGAUCAAGUAGGCGAUCUCUCUCAUCUCUCUCCUCUUUCGAUUUUCAGAGUUCGUCGUAGCUUUUCACAUUUCAGACUUUCCGGCCACCUUACCUAUAUUUUUUUUCUGAAAUUUCAGGGAUGGACAAGUACACUGGUCAUCAACUUGUUUCUGAGUCGAGCAUUGACCAAAUCCACACCACAUUCGAGAAAUCCACAGGGUGUCGUGUCUAGAUUCACGUGUUUAACGACUUGGGACUUGAAAAAGGUAACAAGGAGGAGCAAAUUCUGAGUGUGCUUACCGGUACCAACUAUAUCAUCGAGCUACUUGAGGAGAUCGAGGAGAAGAGUCGCACCCGGCCCGUUAUCGUGUGGCUAGCUCUUCGGUGCUGAUUCUCGUUAAAGAGGUGCUCUCGGAGAACCUCACCGCCUACCGAGCAAGCCUUGGUGGUCGUUUGGCUCAUCAAAGACGAAUUCUAAUCUGUGACCUUCGUCCGGCGAAUAUCAAGGUCUCAUCGGAGGCGGAAAUGUUUCGUGUGAAGAUAUGAGAUUUUGCUGAGGCUAAAUACGUUCCGGUCAUGUCGAUACAAUAAUAAACCAUGAAUGAGGUACUUUGAAGUUAAUUGGCAGACCUAAAAGAUCUCAAUUUGAUUUGUUUUUCUUAAAGAGUUGUUUUUUAAAAAAAAAUAGUUCAAAAACUCGCAUGUCGAGUAUUUUGAGAUAUUCUUUUUAUAGUCUCCCUAAUAACCAGUAAUAAACCAUGGAUGAAUUUUGUUAUGAAGUUGGCAGACCUAAAAUAUCUCUAUUUUGCCUUUCAACCAUAUGUUUUAGUCCAUGUCUUUCAAGUUUUUUUAUGAACAUUUCUUUCGCAAUUAUAGUGAUCUUAUUACAUCCAACUUUCAAUAUAUAAUUGAAACUAAGACAAAUUUCUACGCUAACUUUUCUAAUGUUGUGAUGUAUAAGAUUUGUAGCCGAGACACAUAUGAACCAGGAGUCAUCAAGAAGUCACCUUCAGCUCACAGUGCGCAUAUGUGGUAUCAGUGAGGUUUGUUUUUAACUGUAGUGAAGAUCAAGUUUCUCUGUUUUCAUGUAUGCUCUUGUUUAGUUGUUUGCCUUAUGGUUGUGAUGUUAUACUUUUCAAACCUUGUUAAUCUUACAGGAAGUGAGUGAUCAGAUGAAAUUGGAGACCGUAUGGAAGAAAGUAGGCUUUGUAUCUACAUAACUUGGUUAUUAUUUUUCUAAUGUGUUGAGACUGUGAUCUCACUAUUUUUCUAGUAAUAACCAUGCUAUAUAUCAAAAAUAAUGGGUCACCUUUGAUAGGUAAUCUGAAUAUCUUGAAGACAUCUUCAAUUGUGAUGGACCUCUCCUUUUAGCCGAACACAAAGGCUUCACAUCCUAAUGUCGGAAAAGAAGCAUAAUAUCCAAUUUUGAUUUGCCAAUGGGCUUCUCUUCAUAAAACGACCUAAUCAUCGACCAGAAGACCGUAGUCUUCAACAACGCCCAAGCCUCUGUUGGAAUCAGUUCUUCAUAAAAAAAAUAGUUUAAAAACUCGCAUGUUAAUUUUAAUAAUAUUUCAAAAACUCGCACGUCGAGUUUUUUGUUAUCGUCUCACUAAUAACCAGUAAUAAACAAUAGAUGAAAGUGGCUAUGAAGUUGGCAUACCUAAAAGAUCUCAAUCUGAUUUGUUUUUCUUAAAAUGUUGUCUAUUUUAAUAAAUAGUUCAAAAACUCGCAUGUCGAGUGUUUUGAGGCAUUCUUUUUAUCGUCUCCCUAAUAACCAGUAAUAAACCAUGGAUGAAUUUGGUUAUGAAGUUGACAGACCUAAAAGAUCUCUAUAUGAUUUGUUUUUCUUAAAGACUUGUCGAUUUUCAAAAUAGUUUAAAAACUUGCACGUCGAUUUUAAUAAUAGUUCAAAAACUCGCACGUCGAGUUUUUUGUUAUCGUCUCACUAAUAACUAGUAAUAAACAAUGGAUGAAAGUGGCUAUGAAGUUGACAGACCUAAAAGAUCUCAAUCUGAUUUGUUUUUCUUAAAGACUUGUCGAUUUUCAAAAUAGUUCAAAAACUCGCAUGUCGAUUUUAAUAAUAGUUCAAAAACUCGAAUGUUAAAGUUUUUGUUAUCAUCUCACUAAUAUCCAGUAAUAAAUCAUGGAUGAAAGUGGCUAUGAAGUUGAUAGACUUUAAAGAUCUUAAUCUGAUUUGUUUUUCUUAAAGACUUGUCGAUUUUCAAAAUAGUUCAAAAACUCGCACGUCGAUUUUAAUAAUAGUUCAAAAACUCGAAUGUCAAAGUUUUUUUAUCGUCUCACUAAUAUCUAGUAAUAAAUCAUGGAUGAAAAUGGCUAUGAAGUUGACAGACCUUAAAGAUCUCAAUCUGAUUUGUUUUUCUUAAAGACUUGUUGAUUUAAAAAAUAGUUCAAAAACUCGCAUGUCGAUUUUAAUAAUAGUUCAAAAAGAGGUUUUUUUUAUCGUCUCACUAAUAACCAGUAACAUGCCAAACUUAACAAAAGCUCGCGGGUCGAAAUUUUUGGGGAUUAAACCCUAAAGGAUUGUUUAAAAAUCAUGUUUUACUAACUCUAAAAGACACCGCCACACCUCUUUAACCCUCUUUAACCUGCCACACAACCAAACCAUAACCCUAGCUUUCAGAAAUGAAGUGAUACACUGAUGUCAGUCUUGCGUCAAAAACCCACAUCAUUCGUGUGAGACAUGACAUUGAAGUCAAUAUAAAAGUGCAACUAUGCUCUUACCGGCAGUUCCCCCCACACAUGAGGCCCUUUUGUUUUAAUUUUAUCCAAUCUCCUGUUAAAUGCAUCUGAAACCGACUUGAAUUCUGCUGUCAUACAGUUUUGAGAUUGUGCGUCAAAACCUGCACAUCACUUCUGAUACCGUCCCUCAACGCCCCCUUCAUCUCGUCUUGAAAGCCCCCAUACAGCUCUUCAUCUCGUCCUUGAACCCCCCCAUAUCACUUUUGAUCUCGUCCUUAAACGCCCACACAUCAAUCUUCACCACCCCCACAUCAGCUUUCGUCUCCAGGGCUAGCAGAGCAUUCAGAGACGACAGAUGAUUCAUUAAUUCGGCUUCCAAACUGAGGAUUCUUGUUGUGUAACCUGAACCGUAGAGUAGCUUCACCCAUAACGCGCUCUUCUUAAUUUCCUAUCUGAGUUGUUUCCCUUGCACAGGGUUAUUUUCUAAUCGAGCUAUCAAAUCUGGAGAAACUUGAGUACCAGCACCGUUCAGCUUGCCCACCACCUCUGUCACAAGCUUCCCUGCCACUUCCAGCCGCUCAAUUCCAUUCUUCAACUUCUCACAUUUGCCACACUAAGUCUUGCAAAUCUCCAGAGCUUUGGUUAAGUCCAUCAGCAUGUUGAAAGCGGAUGCGGUGCUCUCGUAGGUCGCCACCAUUUCGGGAUGAGAUGAGUGAAGCGGAAGCUCAAUGCCGAUGCUGAAGCGAUGCCGAUCCCGAAGCGAUGUUGAUGCCGAAGGAAAAAGGAAGCGAUGGUUUUUAUAGUCUAGGGUUUCUGGCUUUUGGGCAUUUGGUUGGCUUAUGCCCAAAACCAUGAGUGUAAGUCUUAAUUCAAAGAGAAAUUCGUUUGAAUGGUAUACGAACUUUUGCUCCUUAUAAACUUUGGUAUAUCAAGUUUGAAAAAUAUCAGAUUGGUGUUUAAUGUUUCCAUUUCGACCUAAGAUUAGUAUAUACAGCCAUUCAGAUUAUUAAUUUACUCUCAGACCAAAAAAAACAAACCAAUUUACCCUUAAAUUAUCUUUUUUUUCUUAGUUUUUCUUCUUUGUUUUCAUAUUCCAAUUUUUUAAAAAUUUUUUUAAAUAUUUUUAGGAACGUAGAGAAAAAAGUCAUCGUCACUUUCUAAUAAUCAGUUCUUUAUCUCAAUCAUCCUUGAAUUGAAUGUCAAUGACAACAACAAGAACUUCGAGUGUCAACGGAAACAACAAGGAUUAAACUUCUGUAUGUUUCCCCUCUUCAAUUUUCUUCAAGUUUAUAAAGGUUAACCUAAAUCAUCAAAUUCCAAAAUCUCUUCUAAUAUUUCUUGAAUAUGAAAACAAAUUAAAAAAAACUAAGAAAAAAAAAACUUAAAGGGUAAAUUGGUCAUCUUAAUGGCUCUA
This 39733-nucleotide long non-coding RNA is filed under the name Fragaria vesca (wild strawberry). Its description in RNAcentral is "long non-coding RNA (FVES_LNC000045)". Lineage: Eukaryota; Viridiplantae; Streptophyta; Magnoliopsida; Rosales; Rosaceae. The record is from RNAcentral.